This 597-nucleotide ribosomal RNA is filed under the name Triticum aestivum (bread wheat). RNAcentral describes it as "partial small subunit ribosomal RNA". The record is from RNAcentral. Lineage: Eukaryota; Viridiplantae; Streptophyta; Magnoliopsida; Poales; Poaceae.
AUGACUAGCCUAAAUACAAGGGAUCAGACCAGCUGCCACGUGAAAACUUGCAAAACAAUGGGAAGGGCCCACGGUAGCAAUGGUCCAACUUCAAUUAGUAUUCUGCUACGUGAUGGCCAAGUUGAUCUACAACUCCAAAAAAUUUACGGAAAAAUUGUUACAUGGGGAAGCCACCAGGUGGGAUCUGCUUUGGAAAAUUCAUGCAGGAAAUAUACUAUAUCAAGAAGACUGUCACGUGGUCAAAGGGAAAAAGACCAGGGAUUAGCGAGGUUUAAAAGAAAAAGGCCACGACCCGGAAACGGAGCCGGCCACGAUCCAGAUUCCUCCUGCGCCCGCGACCUCGUUUCGGGCGCCCGCCUCUGCUACCUUGCGUACGCCCCGGCGGCUUCCGAGUCGUCGCCCUCCCCGACACGCCCUCCUCGACACCACGGCCUACCUCCGCCGCCCGGCUCCAGGCCGCCGCCGCAGGCCCACUUCGACCACUGCUGUGAAGCGCCACGGCCUCCUGAGCCGCCCAUGGACGGCGCCUCUCUGACCCGCCCGCCGGCCCUGCUGUGCCUCACGAGGACCUCCGCCGUCGCGACCGAGCCCGCCUAA